UGGGGAAUAUUGCACAAUGGGGGAAACCCUGAUGCAGCGACGCCGCGUGGAGGAAGAAGGUCUUCGGAUUGUAAACUCCUGUUCUUGGGGACGAUAAUGACGGUACCCAAGAAGAAAGCCACGGCUAACUACGUGCCAGCAGCCGCGGUAAAACGUAGGUGGCAAGCGUUGUCCGGAAUUACUGGGUGUAAAGGGAGCGCAGGCGGGACGGCAAGUUGGAAGUGAAAACUAUGGGCUCAACUCAUAGAUUGCUUUCAAAACUGCUGUUCUUGAGUGGUGCAGAGGUAGGCGGAAUUCCCGGUGUAGCGGUGGAAUGCGUAGAUAUCGGGAGGAACACCAGUGGCGAAGGCGGCCUACUGGGCACUAACUGACGCUGAGGCUCGAAAGCAUGGGUAGCAAACA
RNAcentral lists this ribosomal RNA (402 nucleotides) under uncultured Oscillospiraceae bacterium. RNAcentral's name for it is "bacterial SSU rRNA". It matches the Rfam family "Bacterial small subunit ribosomal RNA", at positions 355 to 774 of the family's 1533-position model. The record is from RNAcentral. Lineage: Bacteria; Bacillati; Bacillota; Clostridia; Eubacteriales; Oscillospiraceae.